UACGGAGGGUGCGAGCGUUGUCCGGAAUCACUGGGCGUAAAGGGCGCGUAGGUGGCUUGGCAAGCGUGUGGUGAAAGCCCGGGGCUCAACCCCGGGUCUGCCGUGCGAACUGCUAUGGCUUGAGCACUGUAGAGGCAGGUAGAAUUCCGGGUGUAGCGGUGGAAUGCGUAGAGAUCCGGAAGAAUACCGGUGGCGAAGGCGGCCUGCUGGGCAGUGGCUGACACUGAGGCGCGACAGCGUGGGGAGCAAACAGU
Molecule: ribosomal RNA, 254 nt
Filed under: uncultured bacterium
Lineage: Bacteria
Description: partial 16S ribosomal RNA
Rfam family: Bacterial small subunit ribosomal RNA
Source: RNAcentral